AUGACGCUCGCGGACGUGGCGGACGACGUGCAUCGGUGGGUGCGGGAGGCCGCGACGGGCGAGCACUUCCGGGGGCUCAUCGACUGGGUGGAGGCGCUGCGGCCCAAGCCGGCCGUUGCCAGGGCGUACCUGGGUGGCACCGGCGGCUCGGAGGCGAUGGCGUGCAUCGUGUCAUCGGGGAUGGGCUUCCCGGUGGGCGAGGCCGAUUUCGGGACGGGUCUGCCGGCGUUCGCGUCAUAUCACUUUCCGUGGCCCGCUGACACGGGGUACAUCAUGCCGAUGCCGAGCGCACGCGGGGACGGCGAUUGGGUUGUGUACGUCCACGCGGUGCCAGAGUUGGUGAAGGUGAUGGAGGAAGAGCCAUCUGUUUUCAAAGCCCUGGAGAAUAGCUAUGUGUUCGGAUGA
Molecule: ribosomal RNA, 405 nt
Filed under: Triticum aestivum (bread wheat)
Lineage: Eukaryota; Viridiplantae; Streptophyta; Magnoliopsida; Poales; Poaceae
Description: partial small subunit ribosomal RNA
Source: RNAcentral